This 502-nucleotide ribosomal RNA is filed under the name uncultured Glomeromycotina. Its description in RNAcentral is "partial small subunit ribosomal RNA". It matches the Rfam family "Eukaryotic small subunit ribosomal RNA", at positions 591 to 1092 of the family's 1831-position model. The record is from RNAcentral. Lineage: Eukaryota; Fungi; Glomeromycota.
CCAAUAGCGUAUAUUAACGUUGUUGCCGUUAAAAAGCUCGUCUUUGAACUUCGGGGUUCACCCAUUGGUCAGGCUUAAUUGUCUGCACUGGUGAGAUGAGUCUCUACCUUCUGAGGAACUUUCAUGCCAUUUAUUUGGUGUGGUUGGAAAUCAGGACUGUUACUUUGAAAAAAUUAGAGUGUUUAAAGCAGGCUAACGUCUGAAUACAUUAGCAUGGAAUAAUGAAAUAGGACGGACUGAUUCUAUUUCGUUGGUUUCUAGGAUCACCGUAAUGAUUAAUAGGGAUAGUUGGGGGCAUUAGUAUUCAAUUGUCAGAGGUGAAAUUCUUGGAUUUAUUGAAGACUAACUACUGCGAAAGCAUUUGCCAAGGAUGUUUUCAUUAAUCAAGAACGAAAGUUAGGGGAUCGAAGACGAUCAGAUACCGUCGUAGUCUUAACCAUAAACUAUGCCGACUAGGGAUCGGACGAAGUUAAUUUUAUAAUGACGCGUUCGGCACCUUACG